This 468-nucleotide ribosomal RNA is filed under the name uncultured bacterium. Its description in RNAcentral is "partial 16S ribosomal RNA". It matches the Rfam family "Bacterial small subunit ribosomal RNA", at positions 28 to 507 of the family's 1533-position model. The record is from RNAcentral.
GACGAACACUGGCGGCGUGCUUAACACAUGCAAGUCGAACGGAAAGGCCCUGCUUUUGUGGGGUGCUCGAGUGGCGAACGGGUGAGUAACACGUGAGUAACCUGCCCUUGACUUUGGGAUAACUUCAGGAAACUGGGGCUAAUACCGGAUAGGAGCUCCUGCUGCAUGGUGGGGGUUGGAAAGUUUCGGCGGUUGGGGAUGGACUCGCGGCUUAUCAGCUUGUUGGUGGGGUAGUGGCUUACCAAGGCUUUGACGGGUGGCCGGCCUGAGAGGGUGACCGGCCACAUUGGGACUGAGAUACGGCCCAGACUCCUACGGGAGGCAGCAGUGGGGAAUAUUGCACAAUGGGCGGAAGCCUGAUGCAGCAACGCCGCGUGCGGGAUGACGGCCUUCGGGUUGUAAACCGCUUUCGCCUGUGGCGAAGCGUGAGUGACGGUAAUGGGUAAAGAAGCACCGGCUAACUACGUG